Molecule: long non-coding RNA, 207 nt
Filed under: Panax ginseng (ginseng)
Lineage: Eukaryota; Viridiplantae; Streptophyta; Magnoliopsida; Apiales; Araliaceae
Description: long non-coding RNA (PGIN_LNC004277)
Source: RNAcentral
AGAAGUCAAAGAAGAAGAUAGCUGCUGCAGCAGAAAAAGAAUCAUCAUCUGAGGGGGAGCCAAAAGAUGAUGAUCACAUGAUCGCAGAGUCUGAGGGAGAGCAUGAUCAGAACGAUGCUGAAGGGGAGCUAAGCAAAGACAGAAGGUCAUCAUCCCAUGGAGAGCAAGAGAAAGGAGAACAAACAGAUGAGUAGCUGAUCAAAAGAC